CAAUAGCGUAUAUUAAAGUUGUUGCGGUUAAAAGCUCGUAGUUGGAUUUCUGUCGAAAACAGCCGGUCCGCUCUAUGAGCGUGUAUCUGGUUUGGUUUUGGCAUCCUCGAGGGGUACUGCGCUGUGCUUGAUUGCAUGGCCAGGAAUUCUCGACUUUUACUUUGAGGAAAUUAGAGUGUUCACGGCAGGCAAGCGCCUUGAAUACAUUAGCAUGGAAUAAUAAUAUAGGACUUUGGUUUUAUUUUGUUGGUUUCUAGAACUAAAGUAAUGAUUAAUAGGGAUAAUUGGGGGCAUUUGUAUUAACGCGUCAGAGGUGGAAUUCUUGGAUUGCGUUACGACAAACUACUGCGAAAGCAUUUGCCAAGGAUGUUUUCAUUGAUCAAGAACGAAAGUAUGGGGAUCGAAGACGAUCAGAUACCAU
Molecule: ribosomal RNA, 421 nt
Filed under: uncultured eukaryote
Lineage: Eukaryota
Description: SSU rRNA
Rfam family: Eukaryotic small subunit ribosomal RNA
Source: RNAcentral